RNAcentral lists this ribosomal RNA (466 nucleotides) under uncultured bacterium. Its description in RNAcentral is "partial 16S ribosomal RNA". It matches the Rfam family "Bacterial small subunit ribosomal RNA", at positions 28 to 507 of the family's 1533-position model. The record is from RNAcentral.
GAUGAACGCUGGCGGCGUGCUUAACACAUGCAAGUCGAACGAUGAAGCCCAGCUUGCUGGGUGGAUUAGUGGCGAACGGGUGAGUAACACGUGAGUAACCUGCCCUUAACUCUGGGAUAAGCCUGUGAAACUGGGUCUAAUACCGGAUAGGAGCGUCCACCGCAUGGUGGGUGUUGGAAAGAUUUAUCGGUUUUGGAUGGACUCGCGGCCUAUCAGCUUGUUGGUGAGGUAAUGGCUCACCAAGGCGACGACGGGUAGCCGGCCUGAGAGGGUGACCGGCGACACUGGGACUGAGACACGGCACAGACUCGUACGGGACGCAGAAGUGGAGAGUCUUGCACAAUGGGCGCAAGUCUGAUGCAGAGACGCCGCGUGAGGGAUGACGGCCUUCGGGUUGUAAACAUAUUUCAGUAGGGAAGAAGAGAAAGUGACGGUACCUGAACAAGAAGCCCCGGCUAACUACGUG